UUUAGCAUGGGCUUUUUCAAGCUCCUCCUUCUCUGUCUUCAGCCUGUCAUAACUGCUCCGCGGUACCAUUCUUUCAUGCGCCGGGACGCCUUCGCCUCGUGCACUUGCAUUUGCACCGGCACCGACACCCGCCUGAGACUCGGCCAACAACCCGUCCAGUUCUGCCAACCUCUCUAAUAAUUCUCCAUUCUCGGCUUUCAAGUCCUCUAGCUCUUGCUUCCUUAUACCCCAUAUCUUUUGUGCAGGAUUGUUACGAAGUUCAAGGCAUCGUUCGUAAGCGGGGUUGAACUCUCCAGAAGCGACACGUUGCAUGAGAUUGGUGACUUCAGUGUUGAGGGCGGUGUUGGAGGAUGUCAGAUAGGAAACUGAAGAUGAUAGGCCUGCAAUCUCUGUUUCCAAUAUUUUUGAUUAGUGGAUGGGUACGUUGAAGAAGAAGAUGACAAGUCUUACCCUCUUCCAACUGAGAGAUUUUAUCUUGAGCCUUGUCAAGAUCCUGGGAUUUAACGAGCCCCAUACCCUUGGCAAUCCGUUCUUCCGCAUCGCGAGAAUCACGAUGUAUCUCCUCCAAAGUGGUUUUGUACGACUGCAACAAACUUUCCAGUUCCUUUACUCUUUCGGGGUCACCUGAUCCCGCGGAAGGUCCAGGUGUUGCCGCCAGCUGUCGCCUCACCGCCUCAAGCUCCUUUCUCACCAACCCUUCCCUCCGCUCUGCGCUUUCCCUCCCUUCCUUGGCCCACCUCAAUUCCCUUUCGGCUUCCGUAGCACGUCGGCUCAUUUCGCCUACGGCAUCUUUUGAGCUACCUGCAAGGUCGGCAAGACGGGCACGAAGGUCGCGGAUAGUAGAAUCACGCUGGACGAGUGAGGUUGUUGUUUGAGAGUGGAGGGUGGAGAGGGUGGAAAGACGAGCGCGAAGAGUGGCUAUCUCGGAUGGUUCGCUAGAGGCAGGAUCGGGAAGAAUUUGCGUGAGAGAGCUGAUAAGCAAGUCAGCGCCACGUCACACCCAAAAGGUGGAGAUGAACUCACUCCAUAUCUCGUCUUGCGCGUUCAAGCUGCUCUUGCAGUACCCGAAUUUCCUCAUGUAAAGCUCUCUCAAUUUCUUUGGCGGCCCGUUCAACGCCAUCUAUACUCUUCUUUUCGUGCCGGAGAGUGUGAACUUCGGACUUGAGAGCUUCAUUCUCUCGCCAAACUGCCGCAAGAUUGGCUGAUUGUCCUGGGUCCAAGGUCAAAAUUGUGAUCAUAGGAAGAUGGGAAGACUUACGCUUGACUUCCUUCUGCAAAGCGUCAUCCGUUUUCCUUUCAUUGUCUUCAAUUCCCUUUCUAGCCCUUUCCUCCUCCAGCUCUACGCUCAAACUCUUCGCCCUGUUCUCCCACACUUUCAAACUAUUACGUUCCCUCUCAAGUUCGGCUGUUCUCGCCUGCAGAAGACAAAUUUCAUUCUGACUUGACUGCGCCAGACUUGUAUGCCUGGUCGAUAGGAUUGUGUGCUGUGAACGAAGCUCUUCCAGACUGUUGGUUAACGCAAGAUUCCUUUCUCGAAGCAGAGCCACUUCUCCGGUCAAAACCAGCCUGUCUUCGGCCCACCGUUGCUCCGCCUCUUCCCCUUUCCGUCUCUCUUCCAUCUUGGCUUCAAACAGCUCAUAUCUUUCAUUCUUGAGACGCUCGAUCUCCAGCCUCUGUUCCUCGACGUGGGCGGCUAGACGAGAUUCGCGCUGCUGAAGGGUAUGGUUUGUCCGUUCGAGAGAGGUAACGGUGGAAGUGAGGGUCGAUAGAUGUUUGCGGGAAGAUGGAGUGUGAAGAUCAGCGUCCGCGGAUGAUCGUUUCCCAAGUGUGGGAGCCGGGGUUAUUGGCAUAUCGGUUUGUCGAUUAUAGAUGUAGAGUUUAUCGCUGUUGUUUUGGAAAGAGGAUAUGGAGUUGCCGGGGUGUCCUGAUCUGUUGUUAUUUAUUACCUAGGGGACCUCCUUGAGCGACCGUGGGAAGCGG
This 1980-nucleotide small RNA is filed under the name Cryptococcus neoformans H99. RNAcentral's name for it is "Cryptococcus neoformans var. grubii H99 hypothetical RNA". Lineage: Eukaryota; Fungi; Basidiomycota; Tremellomycetes; Tremellales; Cryptococcaceae. The record is from RNAcentral.